Molecule: ribosomal RNA, 460 nt
Filed under: uncultured bacterium
Lineage: Bacteria
Description: partial 16S ribosomal RNA
Rfam family: Bacterial small subunit ribosomal RNA
Source: RNAcentral
CCUACGGGAGGCAGCAGUGAGGAAUAUUGGUCAAUGGGCGUAAGCCUGAACCAGCCAAGUCGCGUGAGGGAUGAAGGUUCUAUGGAUCGUAAACCUCUUUUAUAAGGGAAUAAAGUGUGGGACGUGUCCUAUUUUGUAUGUACCUUAUGAAUAAGGAUCGGCUAACUCCGUGCCAGCAGCCGCGGUAAUACGGAGGAUCCGAGCGUUAUCCGGAUUUAUUGGGUUUAACGGGUGCGUAGGCGGCCUUUUAAGUCAGCGGUGAAAGUCUGUGGCUCAACCAUAGAAUUGCCGUUGAAACUGUCGGACUAGAGACGGCGAGAAGUACGCGGAAUGCGCGGUGUAGCGGUGAAAUGCAUAGAUAUCGCGCAGAACUCCGAUUGCGAAGGCAGCGUACCGGCGCCGGACUGACGCUGAGGCACGAAAGCGUGGGUAUCGAACAGGAUUAGAUACCCCUGUAGUC